GGAUGUGAGGGCGAUCUGGCUGUGACAUCUGUCACCCCAUUGAUCACUAGGGUUGAUUCGGCUGAUCUGGCUGGCUAGGUGGGUGUCCCCCUCCUCCCUCAAUACUCCACGUGCAUCCUUCCCGAAGUCGCGUGCUCGGUCGAAGAGGAGGACCACCCCCGAUAGAGGAGGACCAUUCCUCGGUCAAGGGUAUAUGAGUAGCUGCGCUUCCCUGCUAGAACCUCCAAACAAGCUCUCAAAGGAACUCAGAGGUUUAUCUUUUUAUUUUAUUUUUUACUGUUUUAUUUUUUAAAAUUUUCAAAUUUUUA
This 308-nucleotide small nuclear RNA is filed under the name Chinchilla lanigera (long-tailed chinchilla). RNAcentral's name for it is "7SK RNA (ENSCLAG00000021698.1)". It matches the Rfam family "7SK RNA". From Rfam's summary of the family: 7SK was discovered as an abundant small nuclear RNA in the mid-70s but a possible function has only recently been suggested. Two independent studies have found that 7SK RNA binds the CDK9/cyclin T complex (known as elongation factor P-TEFb). The record is from Rfam by way of RNAcentral. Lineage: Eukaryota; Metazoa; Chordata; Mammalia; Rodentia; Chinchillidae.